Molecule: long non-coding RNA, 1371 nt
Filed under: Macaca mulatta (Rhesus monkey)
Lineage: Eukaryota; Metazoa; Chordata; Mammalia; Primates; Cercopithecidae
Description: lncRNA (ENSMMUG00000057408.1)
Source: RNAcentral
CUGAACCCCUACACCUGGAGCCCCCAACAGGACCCUCAGAGGUGGAGCAGCAGCUACAAGCCGAGGUCAAGCACCUGCAGAAGGAGCUGGAGAAUCUGGCAGGACAGCUCCAAGCCCAGGUGGAAACCAAUGAGGGCUUGAGUCACCUGAACCGGGAGCAGGAGGAGAUGCUGUGGGAGUGGAAACCCAAGCUCUGGGAGGAGCAGGGGGAGGCCUGCCAGUCCUCUGUGCAGAACGACCACACCACCAUCAGCCACGUGCUCUCCCACAAUCACCAACUCGAGGAGCAGCUGGCCGAGCUGAAGCAGAUGGAGCACCUGGAAGCUACCAGCCAGCAGAACCAGCAGCUACAGGCCCAGAUGAGCAUCAUGGUUCUCCCUGGGGAAGAUUUGUUCCCGACAAGUUUUCUGGUUCAGACCACAGGCAGAGAGGCCGAGAGGAUGAGAAGGACCAGUUCAGUUUGAGGAAGAUCCUUUUGGUUUGGACAAGUUUUGGAAGAAGCCAGACAGCUUGGUGGCUCUCAAAGACCCUCAGCAGCAGCCCCAAAGAACAUGAGCAUGAAGGCAAGAAGAGGAGGAAGGAGUAGACACACAUCUCUUCAAAGCAAAUGAACUCUGAUUAUCCAUAACCCUAAUGACGCAAGUGCUAUGGGGCAACACUUUGUGAGUGGUUGGGAUACAAACCAGAUCUGGAUGCUACUUUUUAUUAUUGGAGAAGGUGGGAGUGGGGAGGGAGUGGGGAUAGAAAAUUCUACUUUGAAUUAUUUGGUUUUUUAAAAGAGUGGCUUUUAUUUGUGCUCCUCCCACCUUUCAGCAUUCAUAGAACAUGCUGGCCCACAUCCACAAUCAAGAUCACUGCCUUUUGUGUGACACGUAGUUCGCGUUAAUAUUUUGUGUAAGAACAGCUGCUUAUGAGUCAAGUCGUCCCAACUGCAGUGAGGUGGAGGAUGUUCACAUGUUGGAACUGUCCUGCCAAAUAAAUGUGGCCCCUGUUGCGCUGUGUUUUAAUUUGGAGUGGGGAAAAGAAGCUCUUGCUUUGUUUCAAAUAAAAACCUUUAGACAAAAUUCUCGGUUAUGUUUCCUUUAUGUAAUAGGCUGGCACAGUCUCAAAAAUCUUCCUCUUCAUCAGAUGUUUGCAAAACUUUAGGCCUUUGAGGUUGAACCUGGAGCUGAAAAAAAAAAAGCACUGUAAGGAAGGAAAGGCAAUGUUUGCAAAAACAUUCGAUCUGAAAAUCACCCUUUUAUGAGAGAGUCAGUAAAAAGAACUCAGGCAGUUUUUAUUUUCAUCUUGCUAUUUUAUUUGUUUUCUCCUCAAAUUCCCUUUACCAUCUUUGUUGUUCUUAUGACUCCCUCACCCACCAUUAAAAAUUGC